GGGGAAUAUUGCACAAUGGGGGAAACCCUGAUGCAGCAACGCCGCGUGAAGGAAGAAGGCCUUUGGGUCGUAAACUUCUGUUCUGAGGGAGGAAAGUGACGGUACCUCAGGAGCAAGUCCCGGCUAACUACGUGCCAGCAGCCGCGGUAAUACGUAGGGGGCAAGCGUUAUCCGGAAUUAUUGGGCGUAAAGAGUACGUAGGUGGUUACCUAAGCACGGGGUAUAAGGCAAUGGCUCAACCAUUGUUUGCCUUGUGAACUGGGCUACUUGAGUGCAGGAGAGGAAAGCGGAAUUCCUAGUGUAGCGGUGAAAUGCGUAGAUAUUAGGAGGAACACCAGUGGCGAAGGCGGCUUUCUGGACUGUAACUGACACUGAGGUACGAAAGCGUGGGGAGCAAAC
This 399-nucleotide ribosomal RNA is filed under the name uncultured bacterium. Its description in RNAcentral is "bacterial SSU rRNA". It matches the Rfam family "Bacterial small subunit ribosomal RNA", at positions 356 to 773 of the family's 1533-position model. The record is from RNAcentral.